Molecule: ribosomal RNA, 182 nt
Filed under: uncultured bacterium
Lineage: Bacteria
Description: partial 16S ribosomal RNA
Rfam family: Bacterial small subunit ribosomal RNA
Source: RNAcentral
GAUUACACCUACGGGUGGCAGCAGUGGGGAAUUUUGGACAAUGGGCGAAAGCCUGAUCCAGCAAUGCCGCGUGCAGGAUGAAGGCCUUCGGGUUGUAAACUGCUUUUGUACGGAACGAAAAAGCUUCUCCUAAUACGAGAGGCCCAUGACGGUACCGUAAGAAUAAGCACCGGCUAACUACG